This 254-nucleotide ribosomal RNA is filed under the name uncultured bacterium. RNAcentral's name for it is "partial 16S ribosomal RNA". It matches the Rfam family "Bacterial small subunit ribosomal RNA", at positions 524 to 776 of the family's 1533-position model. The record is from RNAcentral.
GACGUAGGGCGCAAGCGUUGUCCGGAGUUAUUGGGCGUAAAGAGCUCGUAGGCGGCUUGUCGCGUCGACUGUGAAAACCCGUGGCUCAACCAUGUGGUCUGCAGUCGAUACGGGCAGGCUAGAAUUCGGUAGGGGAGACUGGAAUUCCUGGUGUAGCGGUGAAAUGCGCAGAUAUCAGGAGGAACACCGGUGGCGAAGGCGGGUCUCUGGGCCGAUAUUGACGCUGAGGAGCGAAAGCGUGGGGAGCGAACAGG